ACGCUCGACACCUACGGAGGCAGCAGUGGGGAAUAUUGCACAAUGGGGGAAACCCUGAUGCAGCGACGCCGCGUGAGCGAAGAAGUAUUUCGGUAUGUAAAGCUCUAUCAGCAGGGAAGAAACUGACGGUACCUGACUAAGAAGCACCGGCUAAAUACGUGGCAGCAGCCGCGGUAAUCUGAGCGGGCUGGCAAGGC
RNAcentral lists this ribosomal RNA (197 nucleotides) under uncultured bacterium. Its description in RNAcentral is "partial 16S ribosomal RNA". It matches the Rfam family "Bacterial small subunit ribosomal RNA", at positions 328 to 539 of the family's 1533-position model. The record is from RNAcentral.